CUAAUGAGCCUGAGCAGAGGUGAGCCGUGUGAUGGUGGUCCAUAGACAGCAAGAAAACUUGACCAAACGUGGCCAAAGUUGUGUUUGGACAUUUUCUGGACAGAAGCGGGAGCUGACGAACAUUUUGCCUGAGCAGGGAUGGAUUUCAUGCAGUGCAGAUUUUGCAAAUUCACAAGCUCCAGUCAAGAGACUCUUCUGAAACAUUUUCGCCUUCAUCACAGACAAGGUGCACAUUGGCCUUGCAUUCACACAGACUGUGUAUGUGUAUUUAAAACACCUGGAGCAUUACGAUCCCACCUCUCAAGAUCACACUCAAUAGUUAAAAUCCACAAAAAUUCAACAUUUCAAUGUGAAUUGUGUGAUUUUAAGGAGAUCUGCAGUGAAAAAACUUUUUGGAACCAUCUUGGACAUCAUUUAAAGAACCGAGAAUCUGUACAAUGUCCCUUUCUAAGGUGUACCUUUAAAACAAACAUUCGCCCUACCUGAUGUAAUCAUUUGCCAGUUACCAAGAGUUGCAUAUUUAGUGUAAUACUUUUGUUAUUUACCAGUAAAAUAUAUCUGACAUGUGUUUUUGUUGACAAAUAUUAACAGAAGGAAUAUGUAUAAGUCCUCUGUCCUACUGAAUGUUGAAGUGUGUUUGCUGGUUAAUCAUGUUUAAUUCUUUUUGAAGGAUAGGUGAUUUAGUCAUGUUGUAUCUUUUCAUGUGGACAAAAUCCCACUUUUAAGCCAUGGUGAAAUUCUGGGAAAGGUAAAACAAGAAUGUGAAACAUUAAAAGCAAUAGUUUAGUUUAAUUAAGUCUUGUGAGGUUAAACUCAUAAUGUCAAAGGAGAAGUGAACUCUGUCAUCCCGCCCCUGGGUGUGUCUGCUGCAGGUCAUAAAAGAAGAGAUACAUGCUCUCUUCCUUGUUUUUUUUCUCCUCUUUUCUUCACUUUACUCUCUACUCCUAUCACUCCUCUAUGUCUCCUCUUCUUCACAAUCUCUCUUAUUUUAUUUUAAAAGUAUAAUCUUUAUUUUUAUUUUUGCAACAAGCUCUAAGACAAGCAAAUUGAAUCACUACUUUAAGUGCUUCACUACUUAUCUUUAACAGAAUGAAGUUCUUUCUUUUUGAUUUUUAAUAUAUCGUUAAAGCAUCACUGCCUGAUCCAGAAGAAGUUGAAUUAGUUUUAGAACUCAGAACUUAAGAACCACCAUUAGACACCACAAAGAAAAAGUCUUUAUCCUCAUUUGAUGAAGAACAUUGCAGUCUGUGUCUGCUUCAGUGGUCUCGAACUAAAAAAGAGACUUAGUGUGCUCCAAAAUGAGACUGACAUCCCGCUGGGCCUUUGGACGGAUUGUGCAACAGAGUACCGGCCUUCCCUCUGGCUAUUGGACUGACAUGGCAAGCCCGCAGUCCAACCCAGAACACUCAAGGAAACCAAACUUGAGGUCCUUUUGACUCCCACACAAAGCAGGCUGAAAUUCUGGAUCCACACACAUGAGAAUGAGUUGGUGUCUAAAGUUCUGACUUCUAUCUUAUAAACUUAAGAGAAUUGAGAUUAGGGUCUCCUUAGUAUUAAAAACUACUCCCAUAAUAUUUAAUGCAUAAAAGCCGACUCAUAAUUUCAUCAUCAGCCUACUAACACAUAAUCUUAUUACUUUACUUAUUAUAGUCUUUACAUUUUCUGUCAUUUGUUGUUGUUCAUUUAAAUUGGCAGUUCAUUUAUUUUACCCUGAAUUAGUUAGUUAAUAAACAUAUAUAACCGUC
Molecule: long non-coding RNA, 1745 nt
Organism: Acanthopagrus latus (yellowfin seabream)
Lineage: Eukaryota; Metazoa; Chordata; Actinopteri; Spariformes; Sparidae
Exons: 2
Source: RefSeq, a predicted model, not a curated record